This 52-nucleotide microRNA precursor is filed under the name Theropithecus gelada (gelada). Its description in RNAcentral is "miRNA (ENSTGEG00000025960.1)". Lineage: Eukaryota; Metazoa; Chordata; Mammalia; Primates; Cercopithecidae. The record is from RNAcentral.
GAGACACUUUCACUAUAUAUAGUGGCUCCCACUUCCAGAUCUUUCUCUCUGU